This 356-nucleotide ribosomal RNA is filed under the name Eriauchenus sp. 8 HMW-2014. RNAcentral describes it as "bacterial SSU rRNA". It matches the Rfam family "Eukaryotic small subunit ribosomal RNA", at positions 1459 to 1804 of the family's 1831-position model. The record is from RNAcentral. Lineage: Eukaryota; Metazoa; Arthropoda; Arachnida; Araneae; Archaeidae.
GGUCUGUGAUGCCCUUAGAUGUCCGGGGCCGCACGCGCGCUACACUGACGCCUCCAGCGAGCGCGCCGGCCCGGUCCGAAGGGAUCGGGGAACCCCGUGAACGGACGUCGUGAUGGGGACAGGGGAUUGUAAUUGUUCCCCUCGAACGAGGAAUUCCAAGUAAGCGCGAGUCACCAGCUCGCUUUGAUUACGUCCCUGCCCUUUGUACACACCGCCCGUCGCUACUACCGAUCGAACGUUGAGGUGAGGUCGUCGGACCGGUGCCCUUCCGGGAGGGAGCAAUCCCGAUCGGGGGCUUCCGGAAAGUCGGUCGAACCCUAUCGUUUAGAGGGAGUAAAAGUCGUAACAAGGUUUCC